GACGAACGCUGGCGGCGUGCUUAACACAUGCAAGUCGAACGGAAAGGCCCUGCUUUUGUGGGGUGCUCGAGUGGCGCACGUGUGAGUAACACGGGAGUCACCUUCCCUUGACUUUGGGAUAACUUCAGGAAACUGGGGCUACUACCGGCUACGUGCUCCUGCUGCAUGGUGGGGGUUGGACAGUUUCGGCGGUUGGGGAUGGACUCGCGGGUUAUCAGCUUGUUGGUGGGGUAGUUGCUUACCAAGGCUUUGACGGGUAGCCGGCCUGGGAGGGUGAACGGCGACAAGGGGACUGAGGGACGGCGCAGACGGCAACAGGAGGCAGCAGGGGGGAAUAUGGCACAAUGGGCGGAAGCCUGAGGAAGCAACGUCGGGAGCGGGAUGACGGCCUUGUGGUGGGAAACCGCUGUCGGCUGUGACGAAGCGGGAGUGACGGUAAUGGGUAAAGAAGCACCGGCUAACUACGUG
RNAcentral lists this ribosomal RNA (468 nucleotides) under uncultured bacterium. RNAcentral describes it as "partial 16S ribosomal RNA". It matches the Rfam family "Bacterial small subunit ribosomal RNA", at positions 28 to 507 of the family's 1533-position model. The record is from RNAcentral.